This is a long non-coding RNA of Mustela lutreola (European mink), 899 nucleotides long. RefSeq lists it as uncharacterized. Lineage: Eukaryota; Metazoa; Chordata; Mammalia; Carnivora; Mustelidae. The transcript is spliced from 3 exons. The record is from RefSeq and is a predicted model, not a curated record.
GAAGAAUUUAAACAGAAGAAUAGUUUAAAUUUGAACAUCAGCAAAGGAUUACUCCUUGGUGAAAUAAAAUUUUAAAAAGUACUUUCCAAAAAAUAAAAUGAGGACUUUUUGUAUUUUUGUCUAUAAAGUUUUACUAUAUAAUCAUUAUAAAGGAUCUAAUUUCAUUAGACUCAAUUAUUUAUAAUAAGGAAGACAUUUGGAGCACCUGGCUGGCUCAGCUGAUGGAGCAUGUGACUCUUGAUCUCGGGGUUCAUGAGUUUGAGCCCCACAUUAGGUGAACAGACUGCUUUAAAAAAUUCUUUUCUUUUUUAAAUAAAGAAGACGCGUAAAUCACAAAGAAAUGAAAUGUUCAAAUUAUUUAUAAAGUUAGUUUCAGCGUAAUUUCACUUUCCUCCGCCACAGGCUUUCUUCAUCCAACAAGUCACAGAAUUUGACUACACUGGGGAAGAUUUAGAGUGACCAAAAAGAGGAUCCAGUAAAAGAAAGGAAAAGUGGUCAAAGACCUGGAGAACGCACAGAUUGGAAGCAAUUUCAGAAAAGAAUGGUGAAGCAUGUUACCAGUGGUAACCCCUUGGGGGAGAUUCCUCCCAAUGCAGUUUAACUUCACUGGUCAAGAUCUUCAACACCCUGCUGAAGCGGAAAUCAAGCUAUCCUUGAGUCUCUGUUAUGGAAGAUCUGUCAGUCUGCCGAGAGAGCACACCCUGUUCUGCUCCUCCAUUCUGCAAACUUCAGAGUGACAGACUCUGCCUGUGAAGUUAGAAGCCAGCAGUUACCCAAUGCUGUCUGUGACCAUGUGGAUAAAUCUGCUUAACUUUGGGGUUCAUUGUCAGUGCCCACAACUGUAUGCCAUGCUCUCCAACAGCAUUUUUAUUAGUAAUAAAGGUGAUAUUUCAUCUCUG